Long non-coding RNA from Capsicum annuum, 1695 nucleotides. RefSeq lists it as uncharacterized. The record is from RefSeq and is a predicted model, not a curated record. NCBI's taxonomy places the organism in Eukaryota, Viridiplantae, Streptophyta, Magnoliopsida, Solanales, Solanaceae. The transcript has 2 exons.
GGUUUUAAGCCGUGAAAACAACUUUUUGUAGAAAUGUUAGGUAAGGCCGCGUAUAAUAAACUCUUAUAAUACACACCAUAGAGGAACCUUUUUUCGAAUUUUGCACAACAUAGAAAAAGCUUUAAUUCAUCAAAUUGGUUGUAUUUUUAGGUUAUUUAUGUGUCACUAAUUAAGUUGUGAGCACAUCAUAUAAAUAAUUUCACAACUUGUCUGUGAAUCUUACCUAUGUUAUUUUAUCAUAAUUCUAUGCUUUGGAUACUUUUGUAUACUGUCGGGGUCUAUUGGAAAUAGUUUCUGUACCUCUUUUGAGGUAGUGGUAUGGACUGCGUACACUAUUUCCUCCCCAGACCCCAUUAUGUGAAAAUAUAUUGAAUUUGUUGUUAUUGUUAUUGUUGGCUGUGAAUCUUGAGGGAUUGCCAGGUGUUUUUAGGGAUAGGCGAAGAUUUGCCAUAAAUUCUGACAUAUUGUAAGGAUUUUAGCACAGCUUUUAAAAAAGGACAGUUCGGUGUGCUAAAAUUCGUCCUAUAUGUAGGGUAGGGUCCGAAAAAGAGUUCGACAAGUCACUCAAUCUGUCUAAUGAAGAAUUACCAAAUUAUUUAACCCCGAUUUCAUUGCUACUGCCGGCGUUACGCAACUACAAACAAUAUUAUUAUUUUUAAAAAAAAAAUUAUUAAAUGCUUUUUCUAUCUCAAUUUUUAAGAAAACGAUCAAAAUUUUGAGAUCAAAUUUCUAAAUUUUGAUCAUGAAUUUGGAUCUACAAGCCUUAAGUUAUUUAAAAUAUAAUUUAUAUAUUUAAAAAUUAUAUUCUCAAAAUUUAUUUAUAUUGUGUCAUAUAAAUUAGAACAAGUUUGUAUCGGUUAUCCACACAGUCUAUGCGGUUAUGGAUUGAAAAAAAAAAAAAGCAACCUAAUAAAUCUAUGUGCCAAGUAUUUGAUGCUUUAGGUGAGUUGUCUAAUACUUUCUUACGUCAAAGUAAAUAAAAAUAUCUUAUACGAAAAUCAAUAAAAAUAAAAAGAACAAAAAAAAAAAAAAAAGCUGUCAUUUACUCAUAUUCAAAGCCUUUAUAUUCAGACACAUCACCUCGAAAGAAAAAAAAAACUGAAGUACUAAAAUUCACACUGUUUUUUUCAAAGUUUUUAUUGAGUCAGAAACUAUAGUUCUGUUUCAACUUCAGAUUUUAAAGGGUUAUUUUUGUUGUUGUCAGAUCAAGGAAAUUCUUGUGUUUAAGUUGAACAACUUCUUGAAUCAAUGGGUUAUGUGAUUGUGAUAUCAUUGCCAGUGAUUCUGACCAUCCUCAUAGCAGCCCUAGCUUGUUACCUCUUUGGUAGGGCACGAGGUCGUCGAGAAGCCACCAUGGUUCCUCCAUAUUAUGGACCGCCACCACCAGCGCCUCCUCCCGGAGUCCAUUCUCCGCCACCCCAAAAAUAGACAUCUUUUUUUCUUAAUUGUUGCUUCUCAAUAUUGUAUAGGUCAUAUUUUGUUAAAAUUUCCAAAUAAAGCGCCUUAUUGCAAGUGUAUUUGUCUCGUUUCAAUUUUAUCGAAUAUCAUCAGAGGGUCUAAAGAAAAUUUUUCGAAUUGUGACAAAAUCAAAAUUUUAGUAGAGGCGAUUCUCCUUGUCAUUUGUCAUGUUAUUUAAAUUUGUGUAAGUUUGUUUAAUUGUAUGAAGAUCAAAUAAAGUGUCCUAUUGUAAGUGUA